AUCAACUUUCGAUGGUAGGAUAGAGGCCUACCAUGGUGGUAACGGGUAACGGGGUGUUAGGGCACGACACCGGAGAGGGAGCCUGAGAAACGGCUACCACAUCCAAGGAUGGCAGCAGGCGCGCAAAUUACCCAAUCCCGACACGGGGAGGUAGUGACAAUAAAUAACAAUACGGGGUCCUUUCGGGUUUCGUAAUUGGAAUGAGUACAAUUUAAAUCUCUUAACGAGGAACAAUUGGAGGGCAAGUCUGGUGCCAGCAGCCGCGGUAAUUCCAGCUCCAAUAGCGUAUAUUAAAGUUGUUGCAGUUAAAAAGCUCGUAGUUGAAUUUCGGGAUUAGUAGGUUGGUCGUGCCUCUGGUAUGUACUCGCCUUACUGAUUCCUCCUUCUUGAAGAACUGUAAUGCCAUUAAUUUGGUGUUGCAGGGAAACAGGACUGUUACUUUGAAAAAAUUAGAGUGUUUAAAGCAGGCCAACGCCUGAAUACAUUAGCAUGGAAUAAUGAAAUAGGACGUUGAUCCUAUUUUGUUGGUUUCUAGGAUUGACGUAAUGAUUAAUAGGGAUAGUUGGGGGCAUUAGUAUUCAAUUGUCAGAGGUGAAAUUCUUGGAUUUAUUGAAGACUAACUACUGCGAAAGCAUUUGCCAAGGAUGUUUUCAUUAAUCAAGAACGAAAGUUAGGGGAUCGAAGACGAUCAGAUACCGUCGUAGUCUUAACCAUAAACUAUGCCGACUAGGGAUCGGAUGAUGUUAAUUUUUUAAUGACUCAUUCGGCGCCUUACGGGAAACCAAAGUGUUUGGGUUC
Molecule: ribosomal RNA, 798 nt
Filed under: uncultured Glomeromycotina
Lineage: Eukaryota; Fungi; Glomeromycota
Description: SSU rRNA
Rfam family: Eukaryotic small subunit ribosomal RNA
Source: RNAcentral